GACAGAGGGGGCAAGCGUUGCUCGGAAUUACUGGGCGUAAAGCGUGCGCAGGCGGUGAUGUAAGACAGGUGUGAAAUCCCCGGGCUUAACCUGGGAACUGCAUUUGUGACUGCAUCGCUGGAGUGCGGCAGAGGGGGAUGGAAUUCCGCGUGUAGCAGUGAAAUGCGUAGAUAUGCGGAGGAACACCGAUGGCGAAGGCAAUCCCCUGGGCCUGCACUGACGCUCAUGCACGAAAGCGUGGGGAGCAAACAGG
Molecule: ribosomal RNA, 253 nt
Filed under: uncultured bacterium
Lineage: Bacteria
Description: partial 16S ribosomal RNA
Rfam family: Bacterial small subunit ribosomal RNA
Source: RNAcentral